RNAcentral lists this ribosomal RNA (212 nucleotides) under uncultured bacterium. RNAcentral describes it as "partial 16S ribosomal RNA". It matches the Rfam family "Bacterial small subunit ribosomal RNA", at positions 524 to 734 of the family's 1533-position model. The record is from RNAcentral.
UACGUAGGGUGCAAGCGUUGUCCGGAAUUAUUGGGCGUAAAGAGCUCGUAGGCGGUUUGUCGCGUCUGCUGUGAAAACCUAAGGCUCAACCUUGGGCUUGCAGUGGGUACGGGCAGACUAGAGUGCGGUAGGGGUGACUGGAAUUCCUGGUGUAGCGGUGGAAUGCGCAGAUAUCAGGAGGAACACCGAUGGCGAAAGCGGACUCACUGGAC